CUGGUAAGUAUAUAAGCAAGAUGUGGCAUGCCCACACAGUGAAAUAUUAUUUAGUCAUGAAAAGGGAACCGAGUUUGGAUGAACGCACCGUGAGAGAACCAUGAAAACAUCCCAUUAAGUGAACUAAGCUGGAUGGAGAAUUUCACAGAGGGUGUGAUUCUGUGAAAUGUUCAGAACAUGUAAAUCUACAGAGAACAGAUUUCAUUCAGAGACAGGAAGUAUAGAAUGAGGAAUGCCUGGGUUCAGGUUUUCUUUCGAGGUGAGGAGAACUAGACCGUGCUGAUCUGUACAACUCCAUGAAAGCUUUGCUCAAGAGCCUUUGUGUUAUAUACUCUAAAAUGGUUCAAACGCUCCACUUCGGGUUUUCUGUAGCUGUGUCACUUUGUUCCUAUUCUGUAUCUGUGGUAUACUCCCUCUUCAUUUCAGUUCAACCCAAGCUGUUCAGUCUCAGCAGCAAACGCAUUCUUCUGCUUUACGAGGCCGUGAUGCUGACUUGGACAAUGCGUAAUUCGGGAGUAACUGAGGCUACGCAAUCCCAUUCGGACUCAACAGGAACGAGCUAUGAACGAAGGAUGAACUGUACAGCACGAGGCAGCACCCCUGCUGGAGCUCGAGUUGCACUGUCAGAGCACAGACGUCACUCUGGAUGGGAUGGGCCCGAGUGGCCGACUGACUGGGCAGAAGAUGCUUCCAGGGGGACAAGGCUCUGAGCUAGACUCCCAGAGGGCAGCGGGGCAGGUGGGGAAGGAACCGAAGGGAGGGAAUGGGAGAGUUGUCCAAGCUGACAAAUGGG
RNAcentral lists this long non-coding RNA (793 nucleotides) under Mus spicilegus (steppe mouse). RNAcentral's name for it is "lncRNA (ENSMSIG00000028986.1)". Lineage: Eukaryota; Metazoa; Chordata; Mammalia; Rodentia; Muridae. The record is from RNAcentral.